AGUAAAAUGUUCCAGGGAUUGAUGUUAGCACAUUUUAAGUUAUUCUUAACAUUUAAACAUUUCUAUAAGCUUGGAGGAAAAAGAUGUGUUUUUAUUUGCUUAUAUAUGGCAUGAAUAAAUACAGGUUUACAGAGCCUAGUGUGCAAAUUUAUCAUCUUCUGUGACAGGGAUCAAUCAUGAAUGUAAAUCAUGCAUCAAAGUGGUGAAAUGGGCAACAAAUGCAAUUAAAACAUAAGGUAUUGAAAAGUUUAACUGCUCGGGGGGAGGGGGAAACCAUUUGGUCUAGGGUCAGUGUCACGGAGUGUGGGGGAGUCCAGGCCUGCACCCCUCUUCCUGGGACUCACAGUGACUCUCAGCCAGCCAGUAAAACAGAAGGUUUAUUGGACAACAGGAAUGCAGGUUACAGCAGGGCUUGCAGGCACAGUCAGGACCCCUCCACCGAUCCUUCUGGGGGGGGGCGUAGGGAGACUUGGGGUUCCCUGCGUUCCAGCACCAAAACUGAAAAACCAAAAACUCCUCCUCUCCUUUGUCCAGUCUCCCGGGUAGGUGGUGUCACUUCUCCCAACCCCCCUCCCGGCUCAGGCUACAGCUCAGGUAGCUUCCUUCAAGGGAAGUCCCCCCAUCCCCAAUGUCUCUCCCCUGCGACAUUCCCAGGUCAAAUCCGCCUGCUCCCUGCUCCGUCACACCUGGCGCCCCCCAGCCCCGCAGGGCACUCACCACACCGAACCAGCGAGUGACGUGAUCCACCA
Gopherus flavomarginatus (Mexican gopher tortoise) is the source of this 749-nucleotide long non-coding RNA. RefSeq lists it as uncharacterized. Lineage: Eukaryota; Metazoa; Chordata; Testudines; Testudinidae. The transcript is spliced from 3 exons. The record is from RefSeq and is a predicted model, not a curated record.